AUACACCAAAGUGCCCACGGCAGUUAUUUUCAAGUGGUGGUAUUAUGGGGAAUUUUUAUUUUCUUUUUUAUGUUUAUCUGUAUUUUACAUUUUUGACAACAAGCAUAUAUUACUUGAAUAACUUCAAAGAUAAAUGAAAGCUAUACAUAUGAGGAAAAGCUGGUAUAUAACACCGGCAAGUAAUUAGCAGCUUGAAGGAUUUAAAGCAGACGUGUUGGCAAACAGGGAAUAUGACUUUUCAGAAUGGUACCAACGGUGCCUUGCAGAAGCUUCCAACUGCCUUUCUCUUGCCUCUGUUAUGCAGUUCGGUCAUUUCUACAGACUUUAUCUGAGAUCUCUGAAGGCUAGUCUGGCUUAAAACUACCAGUUUCAGCGGCUUGCAUUUUUCUCUUCUAUUUGGGUGGGGAAGAUUUUUCAGUUUUCUCUUAGAGACACUUUCCCUUGUGGGGCAUGAUAGUGUGUGCCUCUUUGCAGAGACCCCUGUAUGCAGAAGUAGAGGCGCUGGCCUCAGGCUCCUCCACUGCCUCUUGGACAGAAGAAGCUGAGCAUUUUUUCAGGAAGUGGUCACCCCAGUGGUCCCCGGCUUUCUCAGACUUCCUGCAGCUCUCUACACGGUGAAUCACACUGAGACACUGGCAGCAGGCACCACGGAAGGGACCCUCAAAUCUGAAGGCUCAAGGUCCUGGGAAAAGACGAAGUGGAGCAUGCCCCUUGUUUCCUACUAUUAGAGGCUGAGUGUUGGAAGUUCUUCCUAGGAUUCACAAAGAAACUCCUGCUCUUCUUCCACUUACUUUUUCCUGGAAAACACAACCUAUUUCAGUGGCAGAAAAGAUCUCCACUGUUAUAGUGAGGUCAAAGUCUGUUUCUGGAACUACCUGCCUGAUGGCCAUACAAAGACAUACACAUGCAGUGGAGAGAAAACUGCACAUUGGUGGAGGUGGGAAGAGGAUGCCAGAGUCUUCUUGUGAGCCAAGAGGACUUACAGCGAGAUUAAAAAGUGCUGUCCAGCUUCUGUGCCAUGGCCUGCACAUCUAUGACCUCAGACAUUAUUCCAGGGAGUAUCUUAGGACAAGAGCAAUCCCCUGAGGUUUCAGUCAACAGCCAUUUCCAGACCAUUAGAGGAAGGAAUGUGAGUCCAGGUUUUUGUUUGAAAAUUCCUCGUUGACGCCUUGUUGUAAUAAGAUCAAGACAUUUACCAACAAUUAGUCCUUUCUUUAAGCCAAUGGGAAACUCGAACUUCCCCCAUGUUUUUGAGAUUAGGUGAAGCCACGUG
Molecule: long non-coding RNA, 1273 nt
Filed under: Macaca mulatta (Rhesus monkey)
Lineage: Eukaryota; Metazoa; Chordata; Mammalia; Primates; Cercopithecidae
Description: lncRNA (ENSMMUG00000056060.1)
Source: RNAcentral